This 74-nucleotide transfer RNA is filed under the name Streptococcus sp. Its description in RNAcentral is "tRNA-Thr". It matches the Rfam family "tRNA". Rfam says of the family: Transfer RNA (tRNA) molecules are approximately 80 nucleotides in length. Their secondary structure includes four short double-helical elements and three loops (D, anti-codon, and T loops). Lineage: Bacteria; Bacillati; Bacillota; Bacilli; Lactobacillales; Streptococcaceae. The record is from RNAcentral.
GCCGCAUUAGCUCAGAUGGUCAGAGCGUCCGUCUUGUAAACGGAAGGUCAUCAGUUCGAUCCUGAUAUGCGGCU